UGGGGAAUUUUGGACAAUGGGCGAAAGCCUGAUCCAGCAAUGCCGCGUGUGUGAAGAAGGCCUUCGGGUUGUAAAGCACUUUUGUCCGGAAAGAAAUCCUUGGCUCUAAUACAGUCGGGGGAUGACGGUACCGGAAGAAUAAGCACCGGCUAACUACGUGCCAGCAGCCGCGGUAAUACGUAGGGUGCAAGCGUUAAUCGGAAUUACUGGGCGUAAAGCGUGCGCAGGCGGUUUGCUAAGACCGAUGUGAAAUCCCCGGGCUCAACCUGGGAACUGCAUUGGUGACUGGCAGGCUAGAGUAUGGCAGAGGGGGGUAGAAUUCCACGUGUAGCAGUGAAAUGCGUAGAGAUGUGGAGGAAUACCGAUGGCGAAGGCAGCCCCCUGGGCCAAAUACUGACGCUCGUGCACGAAAGCGUGGGGAGCAAACAGGAUUAGAUACCCUGGUAGUCCACGCCCUAAAACGAUGUCAACUAGUUGUUGGGGAUUCAUUUCCUUAGUAACGUAGCUAACGCGUGAAGUUGACCGCCUGGGGAGUACGGUCGCAAGAUUAAAACUCAAAUGAAUUGACGGGGUCAUAGCUGUUUCCU
This 587-nucleotide ribosomal RNA is filed under the name uncultured bacterium. RNAcentral's name for it is "partial 16S ribosomal RNA". It matches the Rfam family "Bacterial small subunit ribosomal RNA", at positions 355 to 1375 of the family's 1533-position model. The record is from RNAcentral.